GUCGUGCUAUCCUAACACUAACUAGCCACCUUGUCCAGGCGGUGUCAACAAACACGUCAGAAGCUUCGGCGUGGAAAAACGUUUUACUCUCUUGUGGGACAAUUACCCACGUGGACCCAAAAACAUGACUUUCUCCAAAAAUAACAAGAUGUUGAGCCAUAUUGGCUACCGCAUGAAGGUGACCAUGCUGGACAGCCGGACAUUCAUCGGAAUCUUCAAAGCUUUUGACAAGCACAUGAAUGUAAUCCUGGCUGAUUGUGAGGAAUUUCGUUGUGUACGUGGAAAAAAGAAUAAAGAAGAAAAACAGGAGAAGCGGACAAUGGGUUUACUGUUACUACGAGGUGAAACCAUUGUGACCAUGACUCUGGAAGGUCCUCCCCCAGCUGAGGAUGGUUCCCGAGUAAAUCUGCCAGGGGCUGCUCCAGGACCAGGUGUUGGUCGUCCUGCUGGUCGUGGUAUGCCUGGGACCGGAGGAACUGGUUUGCAGGGACCAGUACGUGGAGUGGGUGGCCCUUCACAGCAAAUGAUGCAACCAGCAGCUCGUGCUGGUCCUCAGAUUAAUGUGCCCCCAAGGGGAGGACCUCCUGGAAGUAUGCCACCUCACAUGAUGGGUGGUAUGCCUCCCCACAUGGGUCGUGGUGGUCCUAUGGCACCACCAGGUAGCUCCAUGAUGAGAGGAGGCCCCCCAGGAGGGCGACCCUACUAGAUCCACCUCCAGCUGCCAUCACAAGUGCUUCAAAGUGUUCCAUAUCCAAACCCGAAAAUUUAUUAUAAGAGCAUAUGAUCAGUACAGGAAAGUUAAUACAGGUACUGUUGUGGAUUCCUCCCCUACAAACGCUGUUUGUCGCUG
This 850-nucleotide unclassified non-coding RNA is filed under the name Homarus americanus (American lobster). Its description in RNAcentral is "small nuclear ribonucleoprotein-associated protein B- like, transcript variant X2". The record is from RNAcentral. Lineage: Eukaryota; Metazoa; Arthropoda; Malacostraca; Decapoda; Nephropidae.